Molecule: long non-coding RNA, 313 nt
Organism: Poecilia latipinna (sailfin molly)
Lineage: Eukaryota; Metazoa; Chordata; Actinopteri; Cyprinodontiformes; Poeciliidae
Exons: 3
Source: RefSeq, a predicted model, not a curated record
UCCGACAAUAAGAAAAGGAAUCCCAGCCUUUUGACACACAUCCGUGGAACAUGCAGGCGGGAGAAAUGAGAUGCGCGCUUCCAGGUCUCUGAUUGUGGAAGGACUUCCUCUUCCUCCGCCACCGCCGUCUCUUCGGCCUCAUCGAGGUCGUCGGCCGACUCGUCCUCUUUGCUCGCCUGCUCCUGCUCCUCCUCCUCCUCGCGGAUUGCUGUGAUUGAAUCUACAGGAGAUGCUGUGUGAUCUGACAAAAGACCUCCCGUCUGCGCAGCUUUUUGGCUUCUUGCCGCUCUGUGGAAACAAAAGGAAAACUUGC